Molecule: transfer RNA, 73 nt
Filed under: Mus musculus (house mouse)
Lineage: Eukaryota; Metazoa; Chordata; Mammalia; Rodentia; Muridae
Rfam family: tRNA
About the family: Transfer RNA (tRNA) molecules are approximately 80 nucleotides in length. Their secondary structure includes four short double-helical elements and three loops (D, anti-codon, and T loops).
Source: Rfam by way of RNAcentral
GGGGAGAUGGCUCAGUGGUUAAGAGCACUGACUGUUCUUCCAGAGGUCCUGAGUUCAAGUCCCAGCAACCCCA